Mustela erminea (ermine) is the source of this 798-nucleotide long non-coding RNA. RefSeq lists it as uncharacterized. The record is from RefSeq and is a predicted model, not a curated record. Lineage: Eukaryota; Metazoa; Chordata; Mammalia; Carnivora; Mustelidae. The transcript is spliced from 3 exons.
GGUUCCUACUAUUUUACAGGUGGAGAAACUGAGGUACUUAGAGAUUAAGGAAUUGCCCCAGGAUGCACAGCAACAGCAGAACCAGAAUUCACACCUGGACCACGUAGCUACAGAGCUUCUGGUCUCUUGUAACACCCUCCCACCGCCAUCUUGUGACCCUGUUACGGGGCAGCGUGUGUGCUUGGUGGGGAUAAUUUAAUCACUUGUGAGAGCAUUUACCAUUCUAAGGUGGGACAAAUACUAUCCCUGUUUCUCAGCUGUAGAAACUGGAAUGCUGAAAGGUUAAGCAACGUUCACGAAGUUCCACAGUAGCAGUGUGCUUGUCAUAUUCGUGAUGUGGCCAGUCUGGAAGACUGCAGGGCACUCCUGGGCACUCAAGUGCCACGACCACCAGCUAGCUUCCAGUGGACUCAGAAUAAGUCACUCUGCUGAGCUUUAGAUUAGGAAAGAGCAGCAGGUGACACCUACCAACGUAAAAUAAUAACUAAGAACGGCCUUUUUUAAAAAAGCAAUUAAAAGUCAUAAUUUUUUUAAAAGGGAGGGUAUGAUGGGCAUAGCAUCUCAUUAAAAAACUUACAUAUAGUAAUAAUUUCCUCUAAACUCUCAUGUGUCCCUUUUUCCAGAUGAUGAAAUGUCCUAUAUAGGAUAAAUUCUCCUUAUUUGUGGCAUUUCCGUCCAAUAACAUUGCCAAGAAUACUAAUCCAUUGCUCCUAGGGAGAAUACAAGGUUAGGUUCCUACAAGCUUCAUUGCAUUUUCAUCAACCAAUUAAUAUAUACCCUUGUUUUUUGGUAUGUUUC